UACGGCCAUAUCACAUUGAAACACCGCUUCUUAUACGAUCACGGAAGUUAAGCAACGUCAGAUCCUGGUCAGUACUUAGAUGGGUGACCGCUAUGGAAUACCAGGUGCU
This is a non-coding RNA of Acanthosepion pharaonis, 109 nucleotides long. The record is from the annotation of a GenBank genome assembly. NCBI's taxonomy places the organism in Eukaryota, Metazoa, Mollusca, Cephalopoda, Sepiida, Sepiidae.